RNAcentral lists this ribosomal RNA (413 nucleotides) under uncultured bacterium. RNAcentral's name for it is "bacterial SSU rRNA". It matches the Rfam family "Bacterial small subunit ribosomal RNA", at positions 505 to 916 of the family's 1533-position model. The record is from RNAcentral.
GUGCCAGCCGCCGCGGUAAUACGUAAGGAGCGAGCGUUGUCCGGAUUUACUGGGCGUAAAGGGCUCGUAGGUGGUUUCUUAGGUCUCACGUGAAAUUCCCUGGCUCAACCAGGGAGGGUCGUGGGAAACCGAGAGGCUAGAGGGCAGGAGAGGAGAGUGGAAUUCCCGGUGUAGCGGUGAAAUGCGUAGAGAUCGGGAGGAACACCGGUGGCGAAGGCGGCUCUCUGGGCCGAUCCUGACGCUGAGGCGCGAAAGCUAGGGUAGCGAACCGGAUUAGAUACCCGGGUAGUCCUAGCCGUAAACGAUGGGUGCUAGGUGUUGGGGGGUAAAGACCCUUCAGUGCCGGAGUUAACGCAUUAAGUACCCCGCCUGGGGAGUACGGCCGCAAGGUUGAAACUUAAAUAAAUUGACGG